CCUAAACCCUAGCCAGCCCGACCCAUUCAAAUCUGCGCCGCCGCCCCAGUCCUCUGAGCUCGAAACUACAUCUGUCGCACCGUCGGGCUCCCCUGAGCUCGCACGCACGCUGCCUCCUCGUGCCCUCUCCGAAGCCCGCGCCGUGCCUCCGGGAUCUCCUCGACGACCGCGCUGCCGCCCUGGAGACCUCCUGGACGUCCGCGCCGCAGCCCCCGGAGACCUCGACGCCCGCCGCCGCCCCCGGAGACCUCCUCGACGCUCGCGCCGCCGCCCUAGGGCCCUCCUCGGAGCCCGUGCCGCCACCCCAGGUCCUCCGCGGCGCUCGCGCCUCGCCCCCAUGGACCUCCGGAUGCCUGCGUCGCCGCUGCCCCCAAGGGCCUCGAGAGGCUACAUGUCACAGGGGCCUAUGCAGCACCCGUGCUGCCACCAACGCACAGGGACAAGCCGCACCAACACCGCCCUCUCUCUCCCAACCUCCCUUUCAGAUCUGCUCUUCCAAUCUUAAAUCAGAUUUGCCCUGACCCUGUGCUGAUUUUGGGUUUGUGGAAAUGAACAGAGGUUCAUGAGAUUUCCAAAUACGUAUUGGAUUUCAUGGAGAUCAACGGCGUGCCCAUCGAAAUCCCGGAAUACCCAGAAUCCGAGUACCUGGCCAUAGUCCGCAUGCCCUCUGCCAAGUUUAUGCGUAUCUGCAAGAAGCUCAGCAGCGUCGGGGACAGGGGGGACAGGGACACUGUUGUCAUUAUCUCGGUGGAUAAGGAGCGUGUCGACUUCUUCACUUGGGGAAAAGCUGGGACCUCAACAAUUUUCUACACUGCUGGCAAGCCAAAAGAACCUACCCUUAUAGAAGAACCUAUCCUUAUAGAGAUGAAAGAAAAGGUUUCCCUGACCCUUGACCUAAGUACGUGAACUCCUUCUCCAAGGUGUGUACCCAGUCUGAUUAACAAGUGACUAUUAGUCUUUCAUCCGAGCUACCCGCGCUGUUUGAGUACAAGGUCACAGAGAUGACCUGCAACAGAUAUUACGUGACUCCAAUGAUCAAAUUGCAGAAUGAGGGAGAUGAGAUGCAGAAUGAGGGAGAUGGGAUGCAGAACUGAUGACAAGCAGGGAUUCGUAUGGUCAUGUUGCCUACUUUGUCUUUCCACCAUCAAUUGCUUGACUAUUGUUUGCAAGCAAAAAAGUGAUUAUGUCUCAUCUGUUUAAGCCAGACAGUUUCAGUUGCUUGUAUCAGUAUCUACUGUGAGUCCUUGGAUUUACAGUGAAUCAGUGAAUUUAGAUGAGUGGAUUUGUGCUUUGUGCUUUGGUAUAGGAGUAGGUUCAGACCUCACAACAUCAUGAAACCUGCAGUCUUGAUUUUCUCUAGUGUAGUGGUAGUCCUGAUCACUCUGCAGGAUCUCAUGCCACAGAACCUAAUCUCACGGAACCCGAAGAGAUCUUUGAUUACUUGAACAAUUAAUACCUUCAACCUGUGUGUGAAAAAGCUAUAGAAGAUGGGGUAGAAGUCAUGCCCACUGUGGUGAAUCACCUAUGAAAUAUCCUGAAGAAUUUGCGUGGGACGUUGAGUUUGGCAAUGAAAUUAUAUUAAAAUUGCAGAAGUGAAUGUCAGACAACCAUCCAGUCUACUGAACAGUGGGAUAGACUUCAUUCUUGCCGGUGGUCUUGCUGAACCAAGAAGAGCAAAUGGAGUUAAUUUUGCACUUCAGGAGCUUCAAAGAAUUGUUGAGUACAGAAACAAGAUUCACUUCCCCUGAUACUAUAGACUCAUCACUGAUGAAUUAAUGUUUGGGUACAGGUAGCUAAUACUAUAGACUUAUCAUUGAUGAGUCAAUGUUUCAUGUUUGUAAUGGUUGAUCAUAUACGUAUAUCUCAGUGUGAGUGUUUGAACUAGAUCAUGAAUCUAUUUGUAUGAGAAACGUGCACAAUGAUGUUAGUUUUGUAUUAAUUUGCAAACAAAUGGCCUUUUAUUUUUUUAAA
Molecule: RNA transcript, 1971 nt
Organism: Sorghum bicolor (sorghum)
Lineage: Eukaryota; Viridiplantae; Streptophyta; Magnoliopsida; Poales; Poaceae
Gene name: proliferating cell nuclear antigen
Exons: 6
Source: RefSeq, a predicted model, not a curated record